Long non-coding RNA from Coccinella septempunctata (seven-spotted ladybird), 766 nucleotides. RefSeq lists it as uncharacterized. The record is from RefSeq and is a predicted model, not a curated record. NCBI's taxonomy places the organism in Eukaryota, Metazoa, Arthropoda, Insecta, Coleoptera, Coccinellidae. The transcript is spliced from 2 exons.
UCCAUUCACCUGUCAAAAUAUUUCAAUAUGGCGGUCGGUUGGCAAACAACGUUUGCUUACCUUUCGUAAUUUGGAACUUUUGGAAGCUUUUUCUCAAUAAUUGACAUGGAUUGGUGUUAAAUAUCGUUUAGUUUUUUUGAUACAUAUAGUGAAUAGUGAGAACUAAGUUUUAUUCCGAAAGAAAAAUGCCUGUAACAAGUAUUAUGGUUAAUUGUGGAAGUCGUGCAGAUCGGUACCAUAAGGAUUUUUUCGUAUACCUACUGUGACAAAAUCUGUGCAUUACCUACAUAUUAACGAAGAAGGGAUAUGUGGUUAGCAGCUCAAGAGAGAAGAUCUAACUGAAGCAAUUAUUAGAAACCAAGGAGUAUGUAGCAGACAUUUCAUAACGGUGUAACGAAGGAAGUGAUCUGGGUGAUACAGAGCAAGCAGGGCAGAGCAGAUUGAGAGGCUGUGCUAAAUAAACAGACUUGACAAUGACCAUGUUAAGUACACAAGUUGAGCAGUUCAACUUUGCCACCAGAAAAAUAGAAGACUUAGAAAAGAAAGUUGAAAACACUCCUCGGUGACUAAUGGACAAUAUCAAUAAUGUAUUUUUGUGGAAGUAUUAUUGUGGGUUCGAUCAUAAAUUCAUCAAAGCAGCUAUUUUUCCAGAAAAAGAACCUCACAUUUCAUCAACAUCAACAACAGUACUGAGUCCUAACAAUCAAAUGUUACUCACAUUAGUAAAAUUGACGUAUGUUUGAAUAAUAAAAAUAUUUGAGAGAAA